AAAAAAUCUACUCGAAGCAUCAAGUGGAUGCCUUGGUCUUUUUGGCCGAAGAAGGACGUAAUUGGCUGCGAUAAGCUCGGGGCAGGUGCCAAUAACCGCUCAUCCCGAGAUUUCCGAAUGGGGCAACCCCUCCUUUUAGGAGACCUCUACGCUGAAUACAUAGGCUAGAGGAGGUAAGCGCCCGAACUGAAACAUCUCAGUAAGGCGAGGAAAAGAAAACGAUAAUGAUUCCGUAAGUAGCGGUGAGCGAAAGCGGAGAAGCCCAAACCUUUUAAGUAAUUAAAAGGGGUUGUAGGGCCUUUCUUACUUUAAUGUGAAAAGAGUCUAAAAAUUUCGACGGUAGCAGAACAAGCCGGAAUGCUUGGCCAUAGACAGUGAUAGCCUGGUAAGCGAAACCUUCGAAACUCUUGAAAGGUUCCUGAGUACCGCGGAGCACGUGGAAUUCUGCGGGAAUCUACCGGGACCAUCCGGUAAGGCUAAAUACCAAAAAGGACCGAUAGUGAACAAGUACCGUGAGGGAAAGGUGAAAAAUACCCCGGUGAGGGGAGUGAAAUAGUUUCUGAAACUUGAUGCUAGCAAGCAGUCGGAGCCUUGAUUUAUCAGGGUGACGGCGUGCCUCUUGAAGAAUGAGCCUGCGAGUUGUCUGUAUCCGCAUAGUUUAACCUCGUUAAUGAGGGUAGGCGUAGUGAAAGCGAGCCCUAACUGGGCGUUUAGCGGAGGCAGUCAGACCCGAAACCAGGUGAGCUAACCAUGUCCAGGGUGAACCAGUUGUAAAAGACUGGGGAGGCCCGCACCCGUAUACGUUGCAAAGUGUUGGGAUGAGGUGUGGUUAGAGGUGAUAUGCCAAUCGAACCUGGAGAUAGCUGGUUCUCCCCGAAAUGCAUUUAGGUGCAGCGGUAAAUUUUAAGUUCUGGGGGUAGAGCGACUGAAUGGAAUUGUGCGGGGCAACCCGUGCGUUCUAACCAAACUCCGAAUACCAGAAUGUAUAAUUUGCCAGUGAGUCUGCGCGGGCUAAGCCGCGUGGUCAAAAGGGAAACAACCCAGAUCGCUAGUUAAGGUCCCUAAGUUCAAGCUCAGUGUUAAACGUAGUGUACUUCCUUAGACAGACAGGAGGUUGGCUCAGAGGCAGCCAUCCUUUAAAGAGUGCGUAACAGCUCACUGUUAGAUUUGGGAAGUAUGCGCGAACAAUGUAACGGGGCUCAAGCUUGACACCGAAACUACGACUUCGCAUUUAUGCGAGGGGUAGGGGAGCGUUCUGUAUGCCUUGAAGGUGAACUGUAAGGUUUGCUGGAGCGUACAGAAGUGAGAAUGCAGGCAUGAGUAGCGUAAUUCGGGUGAAAACCCCGAACACCGAAAGUCCAAGGUUUCCUGGGCAACGUCAAUCGUCCCAGGGUUAGUCGGUCCUAAGUCGAGGCCUCAAGUGGCGUAGGCGAUGGACAAGCCGUCUGAAAUUCGGCUACAGGAUUGUUUCGAUCAAGACACAAAGGGUUAACGAGAGUGGAGAAUUCUAGCACCGCUACGCAAUGGUGUUUAAGCAGUAAGGAAGUGGCAGUUGGCAAAUCCGCUGUUAUGUUUAUUCAAGCUGCGAUGAAUCUUGUAAAACGAAAGUGGCACAGGAUUAGAUAAGCUUCAGUCUUCAGGAAAAUGCUCGUUGUGGAGAACAAUCUUACCGUACCGCAAACCGACACAGGUGGACUGGUCGAGUAGACCAAGGUGAACGAGAUAACCAUCUUUAAGGAACUCGGCAAAAAAGCUCGAUGUAUCUUCGGAAGAUAUCGUCCCUAGCCAUGCCGCUAGGGCGCAGCGAAAGACUCUCAAGCGACUGUUUAACAAAAACACAGGGCUAUGCAAACCUGAAAAGGGAAGUAUAUGGCCUGACGCCUGACCAGUGCCGAAAGGUUAAGGAAGCCUCUUCACGGGGGUGACCGAAGCCACGGUAAACGUCCGCAGUAACUAUAACUGUGCUAAGGUAGCGAAAUUCCUUGUCGGGUAAGUUCCGACCUGCACGAAAGGCUGAACGACUUGAGAACUGUCUUGAAGGUGGACUCGGCGAAAUUGAGAUGGCUGUGAAGACGCGGCCUAGAUAUGCCAGGACAAAAAGACCCCGUGGAGCUUUACUACAGUUUGGCCCUGCAUUAGGUUUGAAGAUGUGUAGCGUAAGAGGGAGCUUCGGCGCCAAUGAAACACCUCUCUUCUUCAAAUUUGAUGCUAAGAUUGACCCGUGAAACCGGGCAAUUGACAAGGUCUGAUGGGUAGUUUGACUGGGGCGGUCGCCCGCUAAAAAGUAACGCAGGCGCCCAAAGGUUAGCUUAGCGCGAAUGGAAACCGCGCUAGACGUGCAAAAGCUAAAGCUAGCUUGACUGCGAGACCUACAAGUCGAGCAGGUGCGAAAGCAGGGUUUAGUGAUCCUCCGUGUCCCGAAUGGAAGGGCCGGAGCUUAACGGAUAAAAGCUACCCCGGGGAUAACAGGCUUAUGGUGUCCAAGAGUUCACAUCGACGACACCGUUUGGCACCUCGAUGUCGGCUCGUCUUAUCCUGGGUGGGUAGUACCACCCAAGGGUUGGGCUGUUCGCCCAUUAAAAAGGUACGCGAGCUGGGUUCAGAACGUCGUGAGACAGUUCGGUCUCUAUCCGGCAUAUCCGCAUGAGUUUUGAGUGGGGCUACUCCUAGUACGAGAGGACCGGAGUGGAACAGCCUCUAGUGUAUCGGUUGUCCAAGCUUGGGCAGUGCCGAGUAGCUACGCUGUGUUCGGAUAAGCGCUGAAAGCAUCUAAGUGCGAAGCCGGCCACAAGAUUAGAACUCAAUGGAGCCUCGUGCUCCGAAAGGAUCGUGGAAGACUACCACGUUGAUAGGCGGUAAGUGUAAGACUGGUAACAGUUUCAGCUAAACCGUACUAAUUAUCCAAUCUGAUUUUUUCU
This 2918-nucleotide ribosomal RNA is filed under the name bacterium. RNAcentral's name for it is "23S ribosomal RNA". It matches the Rfam family "Bacterial large subunit ribosomal RNA". The record is from RNAcentral.